RNAcentral lists this unclassified non-coding RNA (21 nucleotides) under Chlamydomonas reinhardtii. Its description in RNAcentral is "small RNA Cre_0067". Lineage: Eukaryota; Viridiplantae; Chlorophyta; Chlorophyceae; Chlamydomonadales; Chlamydomonadaceae. The record is from RNAcentral.
AACGUGGGAGGCCGGAGGCGG